This 742-nucleotide long non-coding RNA is filed under the name Apteryx rowi (Okarito brown kiwi). RNAcentral's name for it is "lncRNA (ENSARWG00000006726.1)". Lineage: Eukaryota; Metazoa; Chordata; Aves; Apterygiformes; Apterygidae. The record is from RNAcentral.
CGCUGAUCUUGUGUGCAUUUACACUAAUACUGAACUUGGCCCAGAGGAUUUUGCAUCUCAAUGAUGAGAAAUAGAGAAGCUCAGCACCCACAGUUCCCAGGCGUUUGUAGUAAUCAGGCUGGAGCAUCACGCUAUCCAGAAAUAUCGGAGUAAAACAGAUAUUUUAAUAGCGCUGAUGUUAAAGCACAGGAGCUGGAGGAGGUAGGGAGAAGUGCUUGCCAGUGGUUCGGAUGCUGCGCUGCCAGGCAGCUCACAGUCCCAGUCACGUUGCAGGCCAAACCAGAUGGGCAAGCAAUACAAGCUGUGAAUUUAUUCUUGAUCCCUGUAGGACAGUGACCACCUCCGUUUUUACCAUCACCGUACAGAUAUGCACUGUCAAUAAGUUUUGGAAGAAAACCAACUUGAUAGCAGCUAUUGACUCGAGAUUGAGUAGAAGGAAGCUUUUCGUCAUGACAUUAACAUUUCCACAGGGCGUUUCAUUUUUUCAGAAUUAGCUUAGGUUGCGUGAAAUUGUUUGUAUUUGCAGAAAUGAUUCCUACAGGAAAGGCUUCUCUCUCAACUAGAAGAAGUGAUUAUUUAUUGGUCAAAUUCAAGUGUCUUAUGGAUACUCACAUUGUAUUACCCACAAUGUAUUGCUAAGUCACCUUGAAUAUUUUAGCAACUGGCAUUUCCUGCGAUUACAUGAAAAAGAAUAUAUUAAAUGUUAAAUAAACAUGUUGGAUAAAAUAAAAAUAGUUAAGUC